AGAUUGAACGCUGGCGGCAGGCCUAACACAUGCAAGUCGAGCGGCAGCACGGGUACUUGUACCUGGUGGCGAGCGGCGGACGGGUGAGUAAUGCCUAGGAAUCUGCCUGGUAGUGGGGGAUAACGCUCGGAAACGGACGCUAAUACCGCAUACGUCCUACGGGAGAAAGCAGGGGACCUUCGGGCCUUGCGCUAUCAGAUGAGCCUAGGUCGGAUUAGCUAGUUGGUGGGGUAAUGGCUCACCAAGGCGACGAUCCGUAGCUGGUCUGAGAGGAUGAUCAGUCACACUGGAACUGAGACACGGUCCAGACUCCUACGGGAGGCAGCAGUGGGGAAUAUUGGACAAUGGGCGAAAGCCUGAUCCAGCCAUGCCGCGUGUGUGAAGAAGUCUUCGGAUUGAAAGCACUUAAGUGGAGAGGCAUAACUAAUACGUUAUGUUUGACGUUACGACAGAAUAAGCACGCUAACUCUGUGCAGCACG
RNAcentral lists this ribosomal RNA (480 nucleotides) under uncultured soil bacterium. Its description in RNAcentral is "bacterial SSU rRNA". It matches the Rfam family "Bacterial small subunit ribosomal RNA", at positions 26 to 515 of the family's 1533-position model. The record is from RNAcentral.